This 73-nucleotide transfer RNA is filed under the name Nerita balteata. RNAcentral describes it as "tRNA-Asn". It matches the Rfam family "tRNA". Rfam says of the family: Transfer RNA (tRNA) molecules are approximately 80 nucleotides in length. Lineage: Eukaryota; Metazoa; Mollusca; Gastropoda; Cycloneritida; Neritidae. The record is from RNAcentral.
UGAUCAGAAGCUGAAACAUUGAGCGUCUAGCUGUUAAUUAGAAGGUUGUAGAAUUAAAAUCCUACCUGUUCAG